Molecule: long non-coding RNA, 355 nt
Organism: Hippocampus comes (tiger tail seahorse)
Lineage: Eukaryota; Metazoa; Chordata; Actinopteri; Syngnathiformes; Syngnathidae
Exons: 3
Source: RefSeq, a predicted model, not a curated record
UUAUCCUGGCGUUUGUUGCUGUUUACUGAUGCAAAUCUCACAACAAAGGCUUCAAAUUUAACCCGCUAUGCAUUUUUUUUCCUCCCUUCAAAGGUAAUUCUGAUUAUACGGUGCAAAACACACUCGUAUCUUCACCUGAAUGCAUUUUGCUUAAGUUGCUUUUGGUGCACAGCAGACCGGACGUCUUUAAUAAGGAGGAAGCAAAACAAAUGCGCUUGGAAAUGGAACCAACAGAAGGACUCCAUGACAUCGGGCCAACUGAUAAAAGCGGACAAGUGAUGAGAUGAAGGACCUCAGAAGGAAAGUAUUUGGGUCGCAGGGGUUGCAGGAGCCUAUCCCAGUUGUCUCUGGGCAG